AACAAAUACGGAUCUACUCACAUCCACAAGUGUUAACAAAUAUCUACUAUCUCUGUUAUUCUUCCAAUCGCCACUGCUCUUAAGUAAGCACCUCCCCUCGGGCAGACAUGUUUGGCAUCUUGCUACGCAUGCAUUUCGUAAACGUCACAGAUAGUACUCCGCGGAGUUGGCAUAUGUGAAGAAGACGGCCGUGUUCUCAAUUAUGUGGUGAAGAUGUGAAGGCACAAUCAGGUCUACAUGAUGGAUGACCCUCCAGAAGUUUGAUCCUUGUUUUAACAAUUUGCAUAGGUAUUGGCUAUAAUGAAGACUAUCAAACCAGAUCUACAAUGGACUUUCUGGCUUGGAGCACGUUAUCAGAUGACAAUAGUUUCCCAUUUAAAAUAUGGCAAUUAAUAAAAACUGUUCAUACUU
Molecule: long non-coding RNA, 411 nt
Organism: Stegostoma tigrinum
Lineage: Eukaryota; Metazoa; Chordata; Chondrichthyes; Orectolobiformes; Stegostomatidae
Exons: 3
Source: RefSeq, a predicted model, not a curated record